This 458-nucleotide ribosomal RNA is filed under the name uncultured Acidaminobacter sp. RNAcentral's name for it is "bacterial SSU rRNA". It matches the Rfam family "Bacterial small subunit ribosomal RNA", at positions 925 to 1382 of the family's 1533-position model. Lineage: Bacteria; Bacillati; Bacillota; Clostridia; Peptostreptococcales; Acidaminobacteraceae. The record is from RNAcentral.
ACAAGCAGCGGAGCAUGUGGUUUAAUUCGAAGCAACGCGAAGAACCUUACCAGGUCUUGACAUCCCUCUGAAUGGCGCUUAGCAGCGCAGGUCCUUCGGGACAGAGGAGACAGGUGGUGCAUGGUUGUCGUCAGCUCGUGUCGUGAGAUGUUGGGUUAAGUCCCGCAACGAGCGCAACCCUUGCCUUUAGUUGCCAGCACAUUUAUGGUGGGCACUCUAGAGGGACUGCCGGUGACAAACCGGAGGAAGUGGGGAUGACGUCAAAUCAUCAUGCCCCUUAUGAUCUGGGCUACACACGUGCUACAAUGGCCGGUACAACGAGAAGCGAAACCGCGAGGUGAAGCAAAUCUUUUAAAGCCGGUCCCAGUUCGGAUUGCAGGCUGAAACUCGCCUGCAUGAAGUUGGAGUUGCUGGUAAUCGCGGAUCAGCAUGCCGUGGUGAAUGCGUUCCCGGGUCUU